RNAcentral lists this long non-coding RNA (3121 nucleotides) under Homo sapiens (human). Its description in RNAcentral is "non-protein coding FENDRR:20". The record is from RNAcentral. Lineage: Eukaryota; Metazoa; Chordata; Mammalia; Primates; Hominidae.
ACUGCGCGCCAGGCCAGGUUCCUGAGAGCAGACAGCGCGGGCUGGGAGCGCCGGCAAGGGCGGCCCUCGCGCACCUGGCUGCCAGCCCGCAGGGGGCUCGCACGCAGACCUGCCCUUGCCACCUCAGCGCUCGGGUGCGGGCUGGGGGCGGUGGAGCCACGAAAGGUGGUGCCGAGAGCGGAGCGCAGGACAGCGCAGGAGCCCCGGCGCAUCGCGGCGCGCACAGACCCAGGAUUACUUCAUGCACAUAAAAGAAAACGCAACUACAGUGGACCCUGAACAACCUAUGGCCUGCAGCCACUGAAGAAUGCUUGCAUAAGGAGCUCUUCUCUGCACAUACCCCGACACAGUGAUGGUAUCUUGCAGCUGCUGCUUCUGUCCAAGGCACUGCAGCCUACUCGUCAAAAGCCCGAAGCCCAGCUCUGCCAGCAGUGCACUGUGUGCUCUUAGGAAACAGAGAAGCAAAGAAGUUAGCAAGCUUGUUUUGGCAGAAGAAAAAACACAAAAUACCCAACCACAGAUCCUCAAAAAUAUUGCUAAGCACUAAUUUUGCUAACAUGUUAGACAGCCUUCGGAUCUAGGCAAUCUUGUUCCUCAGCUGGAAAGAGUUCCUGCCAGCCAUGUGAUUCCAAAUCCACCCUGGACAUAUGGGGAUAAUGAGAAAAUCAGCUCCGGCCUUCCCUGGCCUUCCAGCCAAGUGAAUGGGGGCAUCCCCUGGUGCUUCAGCCCGGGGCCCACCCAGAGGAUGCUAGCUGGCCUGCAGAGGCCUCAACCAUGCCCUCCUGGACUCAGGUAAGACUGAGGUUUCCAUGCCCUCAAAACAAUUGUUCAGACAAAAACUCACUGCCCAGGUCAAAGUCACAGCACCAGAAAGCCAACCUGAGGAUGAAGACAAAGCUCUUUGUUGGCACAGUCCCCUGAUCAUUCGAGGUCAGCAUCUCCAUCAAAAUGGACCCAAUGCUGAGGCAAGAAGGAGAACAUCACUGUUAAGAAGGUAAUGAGUCACAAAUGCUAUUUCGAUGGUUUUCUUUGAAAGAAAUACACAGAACCAAACCAAUUUUAAUUAAAGAUCUUGUCUUUGUAAUCAGGCAGCCACAAAUGAAGGCAAAACUGCUUUCAUGUGGCAUAAUAUACACAGAGCUGAACUAGUUUUCCCAUAAAAGGGCAGGUUCUUUUCUUCAAAUAAGAAAAGAGUUUGUUCCUAACAAUAUGGGGGAUGCAACAGAAAGCUGUCUUUUGCAAAGUAUAAAAUUGCAGAUCCUCCCGUGGAAGCCAUUUCUUGAUGCUAAACCAAUGCGAACGUUUGCCAAACGCACAUGCGAGCCGGGAUUAUCCUACCCUUUGAGAUUAGACAUGUGAUCCUGAUUUUUAAGUGAAAAACGCAGCCAGAGGCCAAAUAAACAUACCUACAAGUACAUCGAAAGCUCAAAUGGUUGAGAAAUGAUUGUAACACACCCCGGUGUGUAUUUCUGAGGAAGAAUCAACAUGCACAUGGAAAUUGAUGUUUUGAUUUUUAAUUUUAAAACGACGACAGAACUGAAAUACCUCCCCUAACUAGGUCCACUGAAACCAGUGAGGAGAUAAUCAUUUUCAGUUAAAUAUGCAUGUAAUUUAAUAAUCCACAGAUGGAAAAUGCAUUUGAGGUGGACUGAACACAGCCAGGAGUUUUUGCUUAUCGACAGCACUGAAUCCUGCCUUGACUAGAGAGACUCGUCAUGUGAUCAACUGUGGCCAGAGGGCAUCCUGCAGACAGCUCCUGUCACACCACACUGACCAGACUCUUAUGAGUAUUUAAGCAUCUUCAGGGAAGCGAUUGACUGUCUUAUAAUGGUCUUACAAGUACGGAACUUUAUUACCUGCUAAUAAUCAGAGCACAUGAUGGCACAAUAGAAUAUACGAGUGAAGUUCUAAAUGCAAGGUUGUUCUUAUUCUGUGAGUGGCAAAACUCAUGCAGUGAGCAGAUAAAGCUGGCAGGAGGCAUUGGCGCCCUAAUGCUGGGCACUAACCACCUGCCCGGACUGCGAAUAUCUGUUGGGUCCUUUCUAUAUCUGGUCUAUUCUCGUGUUUGAUUAUAUCCUGGUGGCAAGAAUAGCAAAAUCAACUCUCCUUCCUAUCCCAUGUGGAGAGGCAUGAUUUGAGUCAGAGAGCAUUAUCCUCUCUGCGUUAUCCAACCCCAUGUCCCAUGAUGCACUUUGUAGACAAGCAAGUGUCCCUGGUGGAGAAUCCACAGCCACACAUCCUCAUUGGUUGCAAGGAUCAGUGUCCAAUAUCUACUGCCAUGAUCAUUCUCAGUUUUACAUCCACAGAGCUUCAUAGAAUUCUAACACCACAGGUCCAAGUAGAGGUUUUGGCCUCAGAGUGGGCUAGAUUCCACCUCUGACAGCAGCUGUGGGACUGUUUUUCCAUCUGUAAAAUGGAGACAAGAGUAUCACCUACCUCAUGGUGUUGGUGGGAUCGUUAAACAGAAUUCCGAUCAUGAAACCCUUAGCCUGCUCCCUGCAUAGGCUGCAUGCGCUCAGUGAGCUAUGGCUCUGUUUCAUGCUGACUUUACCAUCAUGUAAGCAGUUUUAAAAAUGCUAGAAGCUUUAGUCAUAGAAUUACCAUAUGAUACAGCCUACUGCAGAGUCCAGAGGCUGAGGCAGGAGAGUUACUUGAACCUGGGAGGCGGAGGUUGCAGUGAGCCAAGAUCGCGCCACUGCACUCCAGCCUGGGCAACAGAGUGAGAUUCUGUCUCAACACAAAAAAGAAGACAUGUGUCCCCAUCACAGUAUCAUACAGAGUGCUUCCACUGCCCUAAAAUACCCUGUGCUCUUCCUAUUCAUCCCUCUCUUCAACCCCAGCAACCACUGAUCCUUUUACCAUCUCCAUGGUUUUGCCUUUCCCAGAAUGUCAUAUUGUUGGAAUCAUACGCUAUGUAGCCUUUGCAAAUGGGCUUCUUUCACCGAGCAAUGUGCAUUGAAGGUGCCUCUAUGACUUUUCAAGGGUUGAUAGCUCAUUCCUUUUUAUUGCUAAAUAAUAUUCCAUUGUCUGAAUGUACCACAUUUUGUUUAUCCAUUCACCUACUAAAGGACAUCUUGGUUGCUUCCAAGUUUGGGCAAUUAUAAAUAAAACUGCUAUAAAC